This 559-nucleotide ribosomal RNA is filed under the name Staphylococcus sp. DST1. RNAcentral describes it as "bacterial SSU rRNA". It matches the Rfam family "Bacterial small subunit ribosomal RNA", at positions 70 to 614 of the family's 1533-position model. Lineage: Bacteria; Bacillati; Bacillota; Bacilli; Caryophanales; Staphylococcaceae. The record is from RNAcentral.
AAUAAGGAGCUUGCUCCUUUGACGUUAGCGGCGGACGGGUGAGUAACACGUGGGUAACCUACCUAUAAGACUGGAAUAACUCCGGGAAACCGGGGCUAAUGCCGGAUAACAUUUAGAACCGCAUGGUUCUAAAGUGAAAGAUGGUUUUGCUAUCACUUAUAGAUGGACCCGCGCCGUAUUAGCUAGUUGGUAAGGUAACGGCUUACCAAGGCAACGAUACGUAGCCGACCUGAGAGGGUGAUCGGCCACACUGGAACUGAGACACGGUCCAGACUCCUACGGGAGGCAGCAGUAGGGAAUCUUCCGCAAUGGGCGAAAGCCUGACGGAGCAACGCCGCGUGAGUGAUGAAGGUCUUCGGAUCGUAAAACUCUGUUAUUAGGGAAGAACAAAUGUGUAAGUAACUAUGCACGUCUUGACGGUACCUAAUCAGAAAGCCACGGCUAACUACGUGCCAGCAGCCGCGGUAAUACGUAGGUGGCAAGCGUUAUCCGGAAUUAUUGGGCGUAAAGCGCGCGUAGGCGGUUUCUUAAGUCUGAUGUGAAAGCCCACGGCUCAACC